This 742-nucleotide long non-coding RNA is filed under the name Dromaius novaehollandiae (emu). Its description in RNAcentral is "lncRNA (ENSDNVG00000016771.1)". The record is from RNAcentral. Lineage: Eukaryota; Metazoa; Chordata; Aves; Casuariiformes; Dromaiidae.
UAUGUAUUUGCCCUGUUGUUACACUCUUCUGUUUAUAGCUGUUGGUGAUAAAAUUCUGGGCUCACAGCCUCUUGAGCUGAGCUCGUAUCACUGUUCUUAGGUACUAAUUAAUUAAUUAGUAAAUGAAAAACAGAAACAGACUAUCUACAGUGAGAGCAUGUUCUCCUUUGCUGGAGACAUUUAAAAGCAGGCUCUUCUGCACCACACCUUUGUGAGGCUAAGACUUCUCUGCUUUAGAAGGUAAAGAAUGAGGAAAUAUAUUAAUAAAAUCCAAGUGUCUCAGACAUUUUUAUGAGUGGGCUCCCUUGGCUGUCGGUGAAACUACUGAAGAUCACAUAGGUCCUGAAGGGAGUGAGCAAGUACGGCAAAGCUUCGGACAACUGAUGAAGUUACUGCCUCCAGUUGUCUGCUGCGCAGAGGAUGAGGCCUUUAUGGAUUAACUCUAUUACUCUGAGUACAUUAAAGUUCAGAGCAAGGACUUUAUAGCAGCCAGCAAGUGGCGAAGCACCAUCUGGAUUGGAGUGGCACAGCAUGGAAAGCUAACAUACAUGCUGCACCAGAAACAAAGCAGAUUUAUCCUUAUGUUCACUGGAAGGCAGCUGAUCAGCUUCCAACAGACCGCAACAGUUCCAAACACAAUUGAAUAAAAUACAUAUAUUUGUUGCCAAAGAUGGAGUUACAGUAUUGUUAACAUGGGUCAGGAAAUGUCUGGUCUCUCAAUCCCUGCUGAAAUAAAAAGGCA